GACAUCGCCAAACCUCGCCCAGAUUCAGGCGUGUAAACCAGCCGGAGCGGCGCGGCAGCGGCAGGACCGCCGUGGCGCCUAGAGUAGCGACCCGGGGGGAGCGCGGGGCGACGCUGGCUGCAGGGACCCGGUGACAGCGUGAGAGGUACUAGGUUUUGACAAGCUUGCAUCAUGCGUGAGUAUAAGCUAGUCGUUCUUGGCUCAGGAGGCGUUGGAAAGUCUGCUUUGGUAAGUCAUUCUUACUUUACCUAAGCCUUUCACUCCAAGACGUUCUUUUUCUGUUGAGUUUUAGGUUUUGAUGAUUUGUCUUUGUUAAGAUAAAAUUCCUUAAUGACUUUAGAAGCAAUAUAAUAUUUUUCUUGUAAUUUUAUUCAACUUUUAAUUAUAUCUGGGUGGAUCAUAUUCUCUCUGGAACAUUGACUCCAGAAUGACACGAGUUAUGCUGGAAUACAAUUUGAGCUAAGCACAGAGAUUGAGAGCGUACAAAUACAUGUCUUUUUGCAUUCGCAUUUCAGAGCCAGAUAGGAAUAAAUUUUGGUCUUUUUAUUUAUUUAUUUUUUUGAAACAGGGUCUCACUCUGUUGCCCAGGCUAGGGCUCAAGUGAUCUCAGCCUCCUGAAUGCUUGGGACUUACAGGCACGUGCCACCAUGCCAGGCUAAUUUUUAAAAUUUUUUGUAGAGAUGGCGUCUUGCUAUAUUGCUUAGGCUGGUCUUAAACUCCUGGCCUCAAGUAAUCCACCUUUGCCUCCCAAAGUGCUGGAAUUACAGGCAUAAAUCACCAUGCCUGGCUUGCUCUUUCUUCUUAUGAAUAGUCUUACCCUGUACAUUUUAUGUUAGAAAAUAUCAAAGCUUAUAAAAAGUCUUCAAAUAUUACCUUUGACUGUCCAGCUUUACAUUUUUUAACGGCAUGUUUUCUGCAUCAAGGAAUGGUAUAGCAAGAAUGAAGACAUAAUGGGGUAAUGAGGGUUGGGAAAGAGGAAAAACGUAGGGAAAAUAAUUUGAUGAAUAGUUCAGAGCUUAGCAAAGCCUCACAAGCAAAUAGAUUGACCUUCUGUCUCACUCAUAAGAUAAACCAUCUUGGCCACUUAGAAAGGCUACCUAGCUGAGAAGUGUCAUGCUUGGAACAAACUGAGAAGUACAUACAAUGUGAAAUGAACUGCUUUUUCAUUUGUAUCCAAAGUGAUGGGGAGGUCAGUUGAUCCUGCAUGUAUGUGUGUAUACAUAACAAUUAGUCAAUUUCUAAUUUAAGAAUCAAAUUUAAGCUCUUAAGACUGAAACAACGCCGGCACAGUGGCUCACGCCUGUAAUCCCAGCACUUUGGGAGGCUGAGGCGGGCGGAUCACCUGAGGUCAGGAGUUCGAGAGCAGCCUGGCCAAUAUAGUGAAACCCCGUCUCUACUAAAAAUAUAAAAAUUAGCCAGGUGUGGUGGUGCAUGCCUGUAAUCCCAGCUACUCGGGAGGCUGAUGUGGGAGAAUGGCCUGAACCCAGGA
This 1489-nucleotide small RNA is filed under the name Pan troglodytes (chimpanzee). RNAcentral describes it as "retained intron". Lineage: Eukaryota; Metazoa; Chordata; Mammalia; Primates; Hominidae. The record is from RNAcentral.